UUUAGCAUCCACAUUUCAUCAUUUCCACAAUUCAAUGAAAGUUUCAUAAGUUUAACAACAAUGUUUUCAUCAUUCACACAAUCCAAUCAAAUUUCCUAGGUACCAACAUUUUCAUCAUGCACACAAUUCAAUUAAAUUUCAAGGGUUAACAACACAUUUUUCAUCAUUCCCACUAUUACAAUCAAAUUUCAUGGGUUUAACAUCAUCAUUUUCAUUCAUCCCACAAUUCAAUCAAAUUUCAUGGGUUUAACAUCAUCAUUUUUAUCAUUCCCCACAAUUCAAUCAAAUUUCAUGGGUUUAACAUCAACAUUUUAUCAUUCCUACCAUUCAAUCGAAUUUCAUGGGUUUAAGCAUCAACAUUUUCAUCAUUCCAUAAUUCAAUCAAUUUCAUGGUUUAAACACACGUUUUCAUCAUUCACAUAAUUCAAUCAAAUUUUUCAACAAAAUAAUUCAAUCAAAAUCAAUUAGGUUUAACAUCACACAUUUUCAUCAUGCACACAAUUCAAUAAAUUUCAUGGGUUUAACAACAACAUUUUCAUCAUUCACACAAUUCAAUCAAAUUUCGGUGGGUUUAACAUCAAACAUUCAUCUUCCCACAAUUCAAUCAAAUUUCAUGGGUUUAGCAACAACAUUUUCAUCAUUCACACCAAUUCAAUCAAAUUUCAUGGUUUAACAGAAUCAUUUUCAUCAUUCCCACAAUUCAAUCAAAUUCAGGGUUUUAACCUCACAUUUCAUCAUUCCCACAAUUAAUCAAAUUUUAUGGGUUAACAAUAACAUUUUCUUUUAUUCACACAAUUCAAUCAAAUUUCAUGGGUUUAACAUCAACAUUUUCAUCAUUCCCGCCAAUUUCAAUCAAAUUUCAUGGGUUUAACAACAACAUUUUCAUUAUUCACACAAUUCAAUCAAAUUUUCAUGGGUAUAACAUCAACAUUGCAUCAUUUCCAUAAUUCAAUCAAAUUUCAUAGUUUAACAACAACGUAUUUCCUCAUUCACACAAUCCAAUAUAAUUUUCCUAGGUUUACCAACAUCAUUUUCAUUCAUGCACAACAUUCAAUUUCGAUUUCAAGGGUUUAAAAAACAACAUUUUCAUCAUUUCCCACAAUUCAAUCAAUAUUUCAUGGGUUUUAACAUCAUCUUUUUCAUUAUCCCACAAUUCAAUCAAAUUUCAUGGGUUAACAUCAUCAUUUUUUAUCAUUCCAUAAUUCAAUCAAAUCUUAUGGGUUUAACAAUAAUAUUUUCAUUAUUCACACAUUCACCAAAUUUUCAUGCGGUUUAACAAUAACAAUUUUCAUCAUUCCCACAAUUCAAUCAAAUUUCAUGGGUUUAACCAAACAACAUUUCAUUAUUCACACAAUUUAAUCAAAUUUCAUGGAGUUUAACAUCCACAUUUCAUCAUUUUAACAAAUUCAAUCAAAUUUCAUAAGUUUAAUUACAAUGUUUUCAUCAUCACACAAUUCAACUCAUAUUUCAUUGGUUUAACAACAACAUUUUCAUCAUCCCACCAAUCAAACAAAAUUAUGGGUUUAACAUCAUUUUUUCAUUAUUCCCAACAAUUCAAUCAAUUUCAUGAGUUUAGCAUCCACAUUUUCAUCAUUUCCACAAUCAAUGAAAUUUCAUAAGUUUAACAACAAUGUUUUCAUCAUUCACACAAUCCAAUACAAAAGUUUCCUAGGUUUACCAACAUUUUCAGUCAUGCACACAAUUCAAUUAAAUUUCAAGGGGUUAACAAAACAUUUUCAUCAUUCCCACUAUUCAAUCAAAUUUCAUGGGUUUUAACAUCAUCAUUUUUCAUCAUUCCCACAAUUCAAUCAAAUUUCAUGGGUUUAACAUCGAUCAUUUUUCGAUUCCCAACAAGUUCAAUCAAAUUUCAUGGUUUAAACAACCAUUUUCAUCAUUCCUACCAUUCAUCAAUUUCAUGGGGUUUAGCAUCAACUAUUUUCAUCCAUCCACAAUUCCAUCAGAAUUUCAUGGUUAAACAUCACAUUUUCAUCAUUUCCAUAAUUCAUCAAAUUUCAUAGGUUUAACAAAAACCUUUUCAUCAUUUCACACAAAUCCAAUCAAAUUCAUAGGUUUAACAUACAUUUUUCAUCAUGGCAUCAUUCCCACAAUUCAAUCAAAUUUCAUGGGUUUAACAACAACAUUUUCAUUAUUCACACAAUUUAAUCAAAUUUCAUGAGUUUAGCAUCCACAUUUCAUCAUUUUAACAAUUCAAUCAAAUUUCAUGGGUUUAACAGAAUCAUUUUCAUCAUUCCCACAAUUCAAUCAAAUUUCAUGGGUUUAACCUCACAUUUUCAUAAUUCCCACAAUUCAAUCAAAUUUCAUGGGUUUAAUAUCAUCAUUUUUAUCAUUCCCACAAUUCAAUCAAAUUUCAUGGGUUUAACAUCAACAUUUUCAUCAUUCCCGCAAUUCAAUCAAAUUUCAUGGGUUUAACAACAACAUUUUCAUUAUUCACACAAUUCAAUCAAAUUUCAUGGGUAUACCAUCAACAUUGCAUCAUUUCCAUAAUUCAAUCAAAUUUCAUAGGUUUAACAACAACGUAUUCCUCAUUCACACAAUCCAAUAUAAUUUCCUAGGUUUACCAACAUCAUUUUCAUCAUGCACACAAUUCAAUUCGAUUUCAAGGGUUUAAAAANGGUUUAACAACAACUAUUUUCAUCAUUCCCACAAUAUCAAACAAAAUUACAUGGUUUUAACAUCAUCUUUUUUCAUUAUUCCCACAAUUCAAUUUCAAAUGUUCCUGAGUUUAGCAUCCACAUUUCAUUCAUUUCCACAAUUUCAAUAAAUUUUCAUUAAGUGUUUAACAACAAUGUUUUGCAUCAUUCACACAAAUCCAAUCAAAUUUCCUAGGUUCACCAACAUUUUCAUCGGCCACACAAUUCAAUUAAAUUUUUCAAGGGUUAACAACAACAUUUUUCAUCAUUCCCACUAUUCAAUCAAAUUUCAUGGGUUUAACCAUCAUCAUUUUUCGAUUCAUCCCACAAUUCAAUCAAAUUUCAUGGGGUUUAACCAUCAUCAUUUUUAUCAUUCCCCACAAUUCAAUCAAAUUUCAUGGUUAACAUCACAUUUUGAUCAUUCCUACCAUUCAAUCGAAUUUCCAUGGUUUAAGCAGCAACAUUUUCAUCAUUCCAUAUUCAAUUCAAAUUUCAUAGGUUUACAAAACGUUUUCAUCAUUCACAAAUCAAUCAAAUUUUUCAACAUGAAAUAAUAAAUAAAAUAAUUAGGUUUAAAUCAACAUUUUCAUCAUGCACCCACAAUUCAAAUAAAUUUCAUGGGUUUAACAACAACAUUUCAGGCAUUCACACAAUUCAAUCAAAUUUCGUGUGGGGUUUAACAUCAAACAUCAUCUUCCACAAUUCAAUCAAUUCAUGGGUUUAGCAACAACAUUUUCAUCAUUCACACCAAUUCAAUCAAAUUUUCAUGGUUUAACAGAAUCAUUUGUCAUCAUUCCCACAAUUCAAUCAAAUUCAGGGUUUUAACCUCACAUCUUCAUUUUCAUUCCCACAAUUCAAUCAACAUUUAUGAUAUCCCGAUUUAAAGCGAAAUAACACUUUUCUUUAUUCACACAAUUCAAUCAAAUUUCAUGGGGUUAACAUCAACAUUUUCAUCAUUCCCGCAACUUUCAAUCACAAUUUCAUGGGUUUAACAACAACAUUUCAUUUUCACACCAGAUUCAAUCAAAUUUCAUGGGUAUAACUCAACAUUGCAUCAUUUCCAUAAUUCAGAUCAAAAUGUUCAUAGGUUUAACGACAACGUAUUUCCUCAUUCACCAUCAACUAAUUUAGUUAAUUUUCUAGGUUUACCAACAUCAUUUUCAUCUUGCACAACAAUUCCAAAUUCGAUUCAAGCGGUUUAAAAAACAACUUUUCAUCAUUCCCACAUUCAAUUCAAAUUUCAUGGGUUUAACAUCAUCUUUUUCAUUAUGUCCCCACAAUUCAAUCACAAUUCAGGUUAACAUCAUCAUUUUAUCAUCCCAUACAUUCAAUCAAAUCUUAUUGGGGUUAACAAUAAUAUUUUCAUUAUUCAACAAUUCACCAAUUUUCAUGCGGUUUACAAUAACAAUUUUCAUCAUUCCCACAUUCAAUCAAAUUUCAUGGCGUUAACAACAACAUUUCAUUAUUCACACAAUUUAAUCAAAUUUCAUGAGUUUAACAUCCACAUUCAUCAUUUUAACAAAUUCAAUCAAAUUUCAUAGUUAAUAACACAAUGUUUUCAUCAUUCGACAGCAAUUCAACUCUAUUUCAUUGGUUUAACAACAAAUUUCAUCAUCCACAAAAUCAAACAAAAUCAUGGGUUUAAACAUCAUUUUUCAUUAUCCCACAAUUCAAUCAAUUCAUUGAGUUUAACAUCCACAUUUUCAUCAUUUCCACAAUCAAUGAAAUUCUAAGUUGUACACAAUGUAUUUCAUCAUUCACACAAUCCGAAUCAAAUAUUUCCCUAGUACGUUACCAUCUUUCAUCGUGCACAAAUUUCAAUUAAAUUUCAAGGGGUUGAACAAAACAAAUUUUUCAUCAUUCCCACUAUUCAAUCAAAUUUAAAUGGGUUUUAACAUCAUCAUUUUUCAUCAUUCCCACAAUUCAAUCAAAUUUCAUGGGUUUAACAUCAUCAUUUUUAUCAUUCCCAACAAGUUCAAUCAAAUUUCAUGGGUUUAAAUCAACCAUUUUCAUCAUUCCUACCAUUCAAUCGAAUUGCAUGGGUUAGCAUCAACAUUUUCAUCAUCCCACAAUUCCAAUCAAAUUUCAUGGUUAAACAUCACAUUUUCAUUCAUUUCCAUAAUUCAAUCAAAUUUCAUACGGUUUAACAAAAACUUUUCAUCAUUUCACACAAAUCCAAUCAAAUUCAUAGGUUUAACAUACAUUUUUCAUCAUGGCACACAAUUCAAUUAAUUUCAUGGUUUAACAACAACAUUUUCAUCAUUCACACAAAUUUCAAAUCCAUUUUAAAUUCGUCGGUUUAACAUCAACAUUUUCCAUCAUCCCACAAUUCAUCAAAUUUCAUGGGUUAUCAACAAACAUUUUCAUCAUUCCACACAAUUCAAUCAAAUUCAUGGUUUAACAGAAUCAUUUUCAUCAUUCCCACAUUCAAUCAAAAUUUCAGGGGUUUUAACCUCACAUCUUCAUCAUUCCCACAAUUCAAUCAAAUUGAUGGGGUUUAACAAUAACAUUUUCUUCUAUUCACACAAUUCAAUCAAAUUUCAUGGUUUAACAUCAAUAUUUUCAUCAUUCCGCAAUUCAAUCAAAUUUCAUGGGUUUAACAACAACAUUCAUUAUCACACAAUUCAAUCAAAUUUCAUGGGUAUAAACAUCAACAUUGGCAUCAUUUUCCAUAAUCAAUCAAAGUUCAUAGGUUUACAACAACGUAUUCCUCAUUCACACAAUCCAAUAUAAUUCCUAGGUUUACCAACAUCAUUUUCAUUCAUUGCCACACAAUUCAAUUCGAUUUCAAGGGUGUAAAAACAACAUUUUCAUCAUUCCCACAAUUCAAGUCAAAAUUCAGCGGUUUAACAUCAUCUUUUUCAUUUAUUCCCACAAUUCAAUCAAAUUUCAUGGGUAACAUAUCAUUUUUUUCAUUCCCAUAAUUCAUCAAAUCUUAUGGGUUUAACAAUAAUAUUUUCAUUAUUCACACAAUUCACUCAAAUUUUCAUGGGUUAACAAUAACAUUUUCAUCAUUCCCACAUUCCAAUCAAAUUCAUGGGUUUAACAACAACUUUUCAUUAUUCACACAAUUUAAUCAAAUUUCAUGGAGUUUAACAGUUCACAUUGGCAUCAUUUAAACAAUCAAAAUCAAAUUUCAUAAGUUUAAUAACAAUUUUUCAUCAUUCACACAAUUCACUCAUAUUUCAUUGUUUAACAACAACAUUUUUUCAUCAUUCCCCAAAAAAAUCAAACAAAAUUCAUGGGUUAAAACAUCAUCUUUUUCAUUAUUCCCACAAUCAAUCAAAUUUCAUGAGUAGCAUCCACAUUCAUCAUUUCCACAUUCAAUGAAAUUUCAUAAGUUAACAACAAUGUUUUCAUCAUUCACCACAAUCCAAUUCAAAAUUUCCUAGGUUACCAACAUUUUCAUCAUGCACACAAUUCAAUUAAAUUUCAAGGGCUUGAAACAAACAACAUUUUCAUCAUUCCCACUAUUCACAUCAAAUUUCAUGGGUUUAACAUCAUCAUUUUCAUCAUUCCACAAUUCAAUCAAAUUUCAGGGUUUAACAUCAUCAUUUUUAUCGAUUCCCACAAUUCAAUCAAAUUCAUGGGUUUAACAUCAACAUUUUGAUCAUUCCUACCAUUUUCAAUCCGAAUUCAUGGGUUUAGCAUUUCAACAUGUUUCAUCACUUUCCAUAAUUCAUCAAAUUCAUAGGUUUAACAAAAACGUUUCAUCAUUCACACCAAUCCAAUCAAAUCAUAGGUUUAACAUCACAUUUUGAUCAUGCACACAAUUCAAUUAAAUUUCAUGCGGUUUAACAACAACAUUUUCAUCAUUCACACAAGUUCAAUCAAAUUUUCGUGGGAUUAACAUCAACAUUGCAUCAUUCCCACAAUUCAAUCAAAUUUCAUGGGUUUAGCAACAACUUUUCAUCAUUCACACAAUUCAAUCAAAUUUCAUGGGUUUAACAGAUCAUUUUUCAUCAUUCCACAAUUCAAUCAAAUUUCAGGGGUUUAACCUCACAUCUUCAUCAUUCCCACAUUCAAUCAAAUUUGAUGGUUAACAAUUACAUUUUCUUUAUUUCACACAAUUCAAUCAAAUUUCAUGGGUUUAACAUCAAUAAUUUUCAUCAUUCCCGCAUUCAAUCAAAUUUCAUGGGUUUAACAACAACAUUCAUUUAAUUUCACACAAUUCAAUCAAAUUUCAGGGUAUAACAUCAACAUUGCAUCAUUUUCCAUAAUUCAAUCAAAGUUCAUAGGUUAACAACAACGUAUUCCUCAUUCACACAAUCCAUGAUAAUUUCCUAGUUUACCAACAUCAUUUUCAUCAUGCACACAAUUCAAGUUCGAUUUCAAGGGUUUAAAAAACAAACAUUUCAUUCAUUCCCACAAUUCCAAUCAAAUUUCAUGGGUUUAACAAUCAUCUUUUUCAUUAUUUUCCCACAAUUCAAUCAAAUUUCAUGGGUUUAACAUCAUCAUUUUAUCAUUCCCAGUAAUUCAAUCAAAUCUAUGGUUUAACCAACUAAUAUUUUCAUUGUCACACAAUUCACUCAAAAUUUCCAUGGGUUUAACAAUAACAUUUUUCAUUUUCCAUUCCACAAUUCAAUCAAAUUUCAUGGGUUUUAACAAACAACAUUUUCAUUGAUUCACACAAUUUAAUCAAUUUCAUUGAGUUUUAACAUCCACAUUUCAUCAUUUUAACAAUUCAAUCAAUUCAUAAGUUAAUAACAAUGUUCAUCAUUCACACAAUUCACUCAUAUUUCAUUGGUUUAACAACAACAUUUUCAUCAUUCCCACAAAUCAAAACAAAAUUCAUGGGGUUUAACAAUCAUCUUUUUCAUUAUUUCCACAAUUCAAUCAAAUUCAUGAGCUUUAGCAUCCACAUUUCAUCAUUCCACAAUUCAAUGAAAUUUCAUAAUUUAACAACCAAUGUUUUCAUCAUUCCACACAAUGCCAAUCAAAUUUCCUAGGUUUACCAAAUUUCAUCAUGCACACCAAUUCAAUUAAAUUCAAGGGUUGAACAACAACAUUUUUAUCAUUCCCACUAUCAAUCAAUUUCAUAAGGGUUAACAUCAUCAUUUUCAUCUUCCCACAAUUCAAUCAAAUUUCAUGGGUUUAACAGCAUCAUUUCUUAUCUCCCACAAUUCAAUCAAAUUCAUGGGUAACAUCAACAUUUCUCAUUUCCUACCAUUCAAUCGGAAUUUUCAUGUUUAGCAUCAACAUUUUCAUCAUUCUCCCACAAUUCAAUCAAAUUUGCAUGCUGUUAAACAUCACAUUUCAUCAUUUCCAUAAUUCAAUCAAUUGCAUGGGUUUAACAGAAUCAUGUUUCAUCAUUCCCACAAUUAAUCAAAUUUCAGGGGUUUAAACCUACAUCUUCAGCAUUCCCACAAUGUCAAUCAAAUUAUGGGUUUAACAAUAACAUUUUCGUUGUAUUCACACAAUUCAAUCAAAAUUUCAUGGGUAACAAUCAAUAUUUGUCAUCAUUCCCGCCAAUUCAUCAAAUUUCAUGGGUGAACAACAACAUUUUCAUUAUUUCACACAUUCAAUCAAAUUUCAUGGGUAUAACAUCAACAAUUUGCAUCAUUCCUAAUUCAAUCAAAUUCAUAGGUUUAACAACAAACGUAUUCCCUCAUUCACACAAUCCAAUAUAAUUUCCUAGUUUACCAACAUCAUUUUCAUCAUGCACACAAUUUCAAUGUUCGAUUAUUCAAGGUUUAAACAACAUUUUCAUCAUUCCCACAAUUCAAUCAAAUUUCAUGGGUUUAACAUCAUUCUUUUCAUUAUUCCCACAAUUCAAUCAAAAUUUCAUUGGCUCAUGGGUUUAACAUCAUCAUUUUUAUCAUUCCCAUAAUUCAAUCAAAUCUUAUGGGUUUAACAAUAAUAUUUUCAUUAUUCACACAAUUCACUCAAAUUUCAUGGGUUUAACAAUAACAUUUUCAUUAUUCACACAAUUUAAUCAAAUUUCAUGAGUUUAACAUCCACAUUUCAUCAUUUUAACAAUUCAAUCAAAUUUCAUAAGAUUUAUAACAAUGUUUUCAUCAUUCACAUAAUUCACUCAUAUUUCAUUGGUUUAACAACAACAUUUUCAUCAUUCCCACUAUUCAAACAAAAUUAAUGGGUUUAACAUCAUCUUUUUCAUUAUUCCCACAAUUCAAUCAAAUUUCAUGAGUUUAGCAUCCACAUUUCAUCAUUUCCACAAUUCAAUCAAAUUUCAUAAGUGUAACAACAAUGUUUUCAUCAUUCACACAAUCCAAUCAAAUUUCCUAGGUUUACCAACAUUUUCAUCGUGCACACAAUUCAAUUAAAUUUUAAGGGAUUAACAACAACAUUUUCAUCAUUCCCACUAUUCCAUCAAAUUUCGUGGGUUUAACAUCAUCAUUUUCAUCAUUCCCACAAUUCAAUCAAAUUUCAUGGGUUUAACAUCAUCAUUUUUAUCAUUCCCACAAUUCAAUCAAAUUUCAUGGGUUUAACAUCAACAUUUUCAUCAUUCCNNNNNNNNNNNNNNNNNNNNNNCAUUAACAAGCAACAUUUUCAUCGAUUCCCACUAUUCAAUCAAAUUUCAUGGGUGAACCGAAGUUUUAACAUCAUCAUUUUCAUCAUUUCCACAAUUGCAAUCAAAUUUCAUGGUUAACAUCAUCAUUUUAUCAUUCCACAAUUCAAUCAAAUUUCAUGGUUUAAACAUCAACAUUUCAUCAUUCCUACGCAUUCAAUCGAAUUUCAUGGGUUUAGCAUUCAACGUUUUCAUCAUUCCCACAAUUCAAUCAAAUUUCAUGGAAGUUCUAAACAUCGAGCAUUUCAUCUGGGGGAGGUGUGGGUCCAUGAGAGGUGCAAGGGUGCGGAAGAGGUGCGAGUAGGGAUUUAACCAAAAGUUUUUCAUGCGGAGGGUGCGACGCGGCCCCGCGGAAAAAAAGUUCCCCCAAAAUUUUUCAAGAUAUUCACUAGGGGUUGAGACGAGUGCAAAUUUUCAGGUGCGAGUGGCGAGCUAGGCGAGAGUUCAGGAGGGUAAGUUGUGCGGAUGUGGGUGGGGGGUGUGUGUGGAACGGUGGUGGUAGUACGAGAGGGCGGAGGUUCCGGAGUCGAUUCACACAAUUCAGGAGGUCAAAGUGGUCGUGGGUUCUAACAUCAACAUUUUUCUCCAUUCCCCACAAAAUUCAAUCAACAUUUCAUGGGGUUUAGCAACAACAUUUUCAUCAUUUCACACAAUUCAAUCAAAUUUCCAUGGUUAACAGAAUCAUUUUCAUCAUUUCCCACAAUUCAAUCAAAUUUUAUGGGUUUUAAUAAUAACAUUGGGUCUUUAUUCACACAAUUCAAUCAAAUUUCAUGGGUUUUUAACACAACUUUCAAUCAUUCCGCAAUUCAAUCAAAUUCAUGGGUUUAAACAACAACAUUUUCAUUAAUUCACACAAGUUCAAUCAAAUUUCAUGGGAUUAACAUCAAACAUUGCAUCUUUCCAUAAUUCAAUUCAAAUUUCAUAGGUUUAAACAACAACGUAUUCCUCAUUCACACAUCAAUAUAAUUUCCUAGGUUUUACCAACAUCAUUUUCAUCAUGCACACAAUUCAUCGUAUUUGGUCAAGGGUUUUUUAAAAAACAACAUUUUCAUUCAUUCCCACAAUUCAAUCAAAUUGUUCAUGGGUUUAACAUCAUCUUUUUCAUGAUUUCCCACAAUUCAAUCAAAUUCAUUGGGUUUAAACAUCAUCAUUUUUAUCAUUCCCAUAUCAAUUCAAAUCUUAUGGGUUUAACAAUAAUAUUUUCAUAUAUUCACACAAUUCACUCAAAUUUCAUGGUUUAACAAUAACAGUUUCAUCAUUCCACAAUUCAAUCAAAAUUCCUAUGGGUUUAACAACACAUUUUCAUUAAUUCACACAAUUUAAGCAAUUUUCAUGAGUUUAACAUCCACAUUUCCAUCAUUUUAACAAUUCAAUCAAGAUUUCAUAAGUUUAAUAACAAUGUUUUUCAUCAUUCACACAAUUUCACUUCAUAUUCAUUGUUUAACAACAACAUUUUAGUUCGAUUCCACAAAUUCAAACCAAAAUUAAUGGGUUUUUUAACAUCAUCUUUUUCAUUAUUCCCCACAAUGUCAAUCAAAUUUUCAUGAAGUUGGCAUCCACAUUUCAUCAUUUCCAAAUUCAAUGAAAUUUCAUAAGUUUAAACAACAAUGUUUUCAUCAUUCACAAAUCCAAUCAAAUUUCCUAGGUUUACCAACAUUUUCAUCGGCACACAAUUCAAUUUAAAUUUUAAGGUUCAACAAACACAUUGUUCAUCAUUCCCACUAUUCAAUCAAAUUCAUGGGUUUAAACAUCAUCAUUUGUUCAUCAUUCCCACAAUUCAAUCAAAUUCAUGGGUUUUAACCAUCAUCGAUUUUUCAUCCCACAAUUCAAUCAAAUUUCAUGGCGUUUUAACAUCACAUUUGUCUCAUUCCUACCAUUCAAUCGAAUUGUCAUGGGCAGUUUAGCAUAACAAUUUUUCACUUCAUUCCCACAAUUCAACAAAUUUCAUGGCGGUUAAACAUUCACAUUUUUCAUCAUUUCCUACAAUCAAAUUCAUAGUAUACAAAUUACAUCCAUCAUCAAUUUAGGAACAUAAUUUCAUCUCCACAAUUCAAAAAUCAGGUUUUACAAAACAUUACAUUCACACAAUUACAAUCAAUUUCGUAGGAAUCUUUCAGCAAUUUCAAUUAAAUGUCAGAUUUAAACAACCAAAUUUUCAUCAUUCCACAAAUUUCAAUCAAAUUUGUGGGCUUUGCAAACAUACAUUUUCAUCAUUCACACAAUUCAAUCAAAUUUCAGGGUUUAAGCCAAUCAUUUCAUCAUUUCACACAAUUCAAUUGCAAAUUUCAUGGGUUUAACAGAAUCAUUUUCAUUCUUCCCACAAUUCAAUCAAAUUUUAUGGCGUUUUAACAAUAACAUUUUUCUUUAUUCCAACCAAUUCAAUUCAAUUCAUGGGUUUAACAGCAACAUUUUCAUCAUUCCCACAUUCAAUCAAAUUUCAUGGGUUAACAUCACUUUUUCAUUAUUCCCACAAUUCAAUCAUAUAUAUAUAUUUAACUCAUCAUUUUUAUCAUUCCCAUAAUUUCAUCAAAUUCUUAUGGGUUUUAACGAAUAAUAUUUUCAUUUUUCACACAAUUCACUCAAAUUUCAUGGGUUUAACAAUAACAUUUUCAUUCAUUCCCACAAUUCAAACAAACAAAUUAAUGGGGUUUAACAUCGAUCUUUUUCAUUAUUCCCACAAUUCAAUCAAAUGUCAUGAGUUAGAUCACAUUUCAAUCAUUUCCACAAUUCAAAUUGAAAUUUCAUACAGGUUUAACAACAAUGUUUUCAUCAUUCACACAAAUCCAAUUCAAAUUUCCUAGGUACCAACAUUUUCAUCAUGCCACACAAUUCAAUUAAAUUUCAAGGGUUGAACAACACAUUUUUCAAUCAUUCCCACUUAUUCAAUCAAAUUUCAUGGCUUUAACAUCAUUCAUGUUUAUUCUUCCCACAUUCAAUCACAAUUUCAUGGGGUUAACAUCAACAUUUUUCAUCAUUCCCACCAUUGCAAUCGAAUUUCAUGGUUUAAGGCAUUCAACAUUUUGAUCAUUCCUACACAUCAAAUCGAAAUUUCCAUGGUUUAAGCAGCAUUACAUUUCAUCAUUCCAUAAUUCAAUUCAAAUUUCAUAGGUAACAAAAACGUUUUUCACUCAUUCACAAAUACAAUCAAAUUUAGUUUAACAUGAACAUCAUAUACAAUAAAUAAAUUUAUGGUUUAAUAACAUUUUCAUCAUGCAACAUUUCAAAAUUUCAGGUUAACACACAUAAUUACAAUCAAUCAAAUUUCGUGGGGUUAAUUCUUCAUUCAUAACAUGUUCAACAACAUUUCAUCAUUCCACCAAUUCAAUUCAAAAUUUCAUGGUUUAAGCAAACAGUUUCAUCAUUCCACACAAUUCAAUCAAAUUUCAUGGGUUUAACGAUCACAUUUUCAUCAUUCCACAAUGUCAAUCAAAUUUUUAUGGGUUUAACAAUAACAUUUCUUUUAUUCACACAAUUCAAUCAAAUUUCAGGGGUUUAACAUCAACAUUUUCAUCAUUCCAAAUGCAAUCAAAUUUCAUGGAGUUAACAUCAUCUUUUUUCAUUAUUCCCACAUUCAAUCAAAUUUCAUGGGUUUAACAUCAUUCAUUUUUAUCAUUCCAUAAUUCAAUCAAAUCUUAUGGAGUUAACAAUAAUAUUUCAUUAUUCACACAAAUUCACUCAAAUUUCAUGGGUUUAACAAUAACAUGUUCAUCAUUCCCACAAUUUCAAUCAAAUUUCAUGGUUUAACAACACAUUUUCAUUAUUCACACAAUUAAUCAAAUUUCAUGAGUUUAACAUCCACAUUUCAUCAUUCUAACAUUCAAUAAAUUCAAAGUUUAAAACGAAGUUUCAUCUAUCUCACACAAUUCACUCAUAUUUCAGUUGUAACAACAACACUUUUCAUCAUUCCCGACAAUUCAAACAAAAUCAAGGGUUAACAUUCAUCUUUUUCAUUAUUCCCACAAUGUCAUCAAAUUUCAUGAGUUUUUUAAGACAUUAUCAUUUCCCAAUCAAAAUUUCAUAGUUACAGUUUCUCUUCACACAUCUCAAUUAGUUAAUACAUGCACAUUCAUAAGGGGUUAACACAACUUUAUCUCCUACAACAGAUCAUGUUAACUCAUCAUCAUAUUCACAUUCAAUCAAUUAGGAACAUAUCAUUUUAUCAUUUCCAAAUUCAUCAAGGUAACGAGAAAUUCAUUAUUCCUACCACAAUGAUUUCAUGUACAUCACGUUUAUCCAAUCACAAUAGGUCAUCCAUCAUUAAUUCACAAAUAUAGUUUUACAACUUGCAUUACAAUCAAUCAAUCAUAUUUACAAACACAUUCAUGUCACACAUUAUUCAAUCAAAUUUCAUGGUUUAACUACAAUCAUUAGCAUUCAUUCACAAUUCAAUCAAAAUUUCAUGGUUUAACAUCAACAUUUUAUUCAUUUCCCACAUGUCAAUCAAAAUUUCAUGGCUGUAUAACAUCAUUCAACAUUCAUUCAAUCAUCUUACCAUUAUACCCAUUUCAAUCAAUUUCAUGGUUUAACCAUCACAUUUCAUCAUUUCCCACAUUCAAUCAAAUUUAUGGGUUAACAAACACCAUUCUUCAUCAUCCAUUUCAAAUCAAGUUUUCAUGCAGGUUUAACAUAAACGUUUCAUCGAUUCCCACCAAUCAAUCAAAUUUCUCAUCGGUUUCCAACAUUUCAUACUUCGAAAAUUCAAUCAACGAUUCAUGGCACACAUCAUCAUUUCCAUAAUCUCAAAAUCAUGGUUUAACAAACAACAUUCUUCAUCAUUCACACAAUCAAUCAAAUUCCGUGGGUUUACGCAUCAACAUUUUCAUCAUUCACACAUCAAUCAAUUUGGUCGAGGUUUCAACAAAACAUUUUCAUCAUUCACACAAUUCAAUCAAAUUUCAUUAGGGUUUACAUAUCUUUUUCAUUUCCCACAAUUCAAAUCAAAUUUCAUGGGUUUAACCAUCAUCAUUUUCAUCAUUCCCACAAUUUCAAUCAAUUUUAUGGGUUAACAAUAACAUUUUCUUAUUUCAUACAAUUCAAUUCCAAAUUUCUGCGUUUAACAUCAACAUUUUCAUCAUUUCUCGCAAUUCAAUCAAAUUUCAUGCGGUUUAACAACAAACAUUUUCAUUAUUUCACACCAAUUCAAUCAAUUUUCAUGGGGAUCUAUAACAUCAAACAUUGCAUCAUUUCCAUAAUUCAAUCAAAUUUCAUAGGUUAACAACAACGUAUUCCUCUUUCACACAAUCCAUAUAAUUUCCUAGGUUUACCAAACAUCAUUUUCAUCAUGCACACAAAUUCAAUUCGAUUUCAAGGGUUUUAAAAACAACAUUUUCAUCAUUCCCACAAUUCCAAUCAAAUUUUCAUGGUGUUUUAACAUCAUCUUUUUCAAUAUUUCCCACAAUUCAAUCCAAAUCUUCUGGGUUUAACAUCAUAUUUUUAUCAUUCCAUAUUUCAAUCAAAUCUUUAUGGGUUUAACAAUAAUGAUUUUCAUUAUUCCACAAUUCACUCAAAUUUUUUUUAUGGUGUUUAACAUAACAUUUUCAGUCAUUCCCACAAAUCUAAUCAAAAUUUCAUGGGUUUAAACACAAACAUUUUUCAUUAUUCAUACCAAUGUUAAUUCAAAAUUUCAUGAAUUUAACAUCCACAUUUCAUUCAGUUAACAAUUCAAUCAAAUUUCAUAAGUUUUUAAUAACAAUGUUUUCGUCUUCACACAAUUCACCUUCAUUAUUUCAUUGGUUUAACAACAACAUUUUAUCAUUUCCCACAGAUUCAAACAAAUUAAUGGCUCAUGGGUUUAACAUCAACAUUUCAUCGUUUUCACAAUUCAAUCAAAUUUCAUAGGUUUAACAACAACGUUUUCAUCAUUCACACAACUCAAUCAAAUUUCAAAGGUUUAACAACAAUAUUUUCAUCUUUCACACAAUUCAAUCAAAUUUCAUGGGUUUAAUAACAACAUUUUCAUCAUUCUCAUAAUUCGAUCAACUUUCAUGGGUUUAACAUCAACAUUUUCAUUAUUCCCACAAUUCAAUCAAAUUUCAUGGGUUUAACAUCAUCAUUUUCAUCAUUCCAACAAUUCAAUCUAAUUUCAUGGGUUUAACAUCAACAUUUUCAUCAUUCUCACAAUUCAAUCAAUUUCAUGGGUUUAACAAUAACAUUUUCAUGAUUCACAUUGUACAAUCAAAUAUCAUGGGUUUAAAAUCAAGAUUUACAUCAUUCCCACAAUUAAAUUAAAUUUCAGUGGUUUAACAAUAACAUUUUCAUCAUUCAUACAAUUCAAUCAAAUUUAAUGGGUUUAACAACAAUUUUUUUAUCAUUCACAUAAUUCAAUCAAAUUUCAUGGUUUUAACAACAAUAUUUUCAUUUAUUCCCAUAAUUCAAUCAAAUUUCAUGGGUUUAACCUCAUAUUUACAUCAAGGUUUAACAUCAUCAUUUUCAUCAUUCCCACAAUUCAAUCUAAUUACAUGGGUUUAACAUCAACAUUUUCAUCAUUCCCACAAUUCAAUCAAUUUCAUGGUUUAACAAUAACAUUUUCAUGAUUCACGUUGUUCAAUCAAAUAUCAUGGGUUUAAAAUCAAGAUUUACACCAUUCCCACAAUUAAAUCAAAUUUCAGUGGUUUAACAACAACAUUUUCAUCAUUCACACAAUUCAAUCAAAUUUUAAGGGUUUAACAACAAUUUUUUUUAUCAUUCACAUAAUUCAAUCAAAUUUCAUGGUUUUAACAACAAUAUUUUCAUUUAUUCCCAUAAUCCAAUCAAAUUUCAUGGGUUUAACCUCAUAUUUACAUCAUUCCCACAAUUCAAUCAAAUCUUAUGGGUUUAACAACAACAUUUUCAUCAUUCACAUAAUUCAAUCAAAUUUCAUGGGUUUAACAUCAACAUUUAUAUCAUUUCAACAAUUCAAUCAAAUUUCAUAAGUUUAACAACAAUGUUUUCAUCAUUCACACAAUCCAAUCAAAUUUCCUAGGUUUACCAACAUUUUCAUCAUGCACACAAUUCAAUUAAAUUUCAAGGGUUUAACAACAACAUUUUCAUCAUUCCCACUAUUCAAUCAAAUUUCAUGGGUUUAACAUCAUCAUUUUCAUCAUUCCCACAAUUCAAUAAAAUUUCAUGGGUUUAACAUCAUCAUUUUUAUCAUUCUCACAAUUCAAUCAAAUUUCAUGGGUUUAACAUCAACAUUUUCAUCAUUCCUACCAUUCAAUCGAAUUUCAUGGGUUUAGCAUCAACAUUUUCA
This 16408-nucleotide long non-coding RNA is filed under the name Lathyrus oleraceus (garden pea). Its description in RNAcentral is "Pisum sativum (pea) long non-coding RNA (PSAT_LNC040096)". The record is from RNAcentral. Lineage: Eukaryota; Viridiplantae; Streptophyta; Magnoliopsida; Fabales; Fabaceae.